UUAGUUUCCAGGAUGUCUCCAGCUUUAUACAUGUUUGGAUUUUUACUGUUCAUGCUCACAGGAAAAGUGAAGAGUGUCACCUUUGAACAGUCCCCCUCUCAGAUUGUGAAGAAAGGGACUAAGGAGCUCAGGAUUAACUGCAGUCAUGAUGGCAGCAACCUGCAAAGAAUGCUGUGGUACCAACACAAACCGAGCAGCCAGUCCAUGAGCCUCAUUGGGUACACAGUUCUCACGAGUGACCCAGUCUUCGAGGACCAGUUUAAAGACAGAUUCCAGCUGAAAAGAGAAGACAUACUGAGAGGAUCUCUGAUCAUUCUCACAGUGGAUCCAUCAGACUCAGCUGUGUAUUUCUGUGCUGCUAGCACACACUGA
Lates calcarifer (barramundi perch) is the source of this 372-nucleotide non-coding RNA. The record is from the annotation of a RefSeq genome assembly. Lineage: Eukaryota; Metazoa; Chordata; Actinopteri; Centropomidae.